AAAUGACAAAACUACCAAAAAUGACUGAAAUUACUGGCAUAUUGUACAGUGGUAAGCCUAUGGUUUUCUGAAG
RNAcentral lists this small nucleolar RNA (73 nucleotides) under Carlito syrichta (Philippine tarsier). Lineage: Eukaryota; Metazoa; Chordata; Mammalia; Primates; Tarsiidae. The record is from RNAcentral.